GACUGGGAACAGGGCCAGACAGACUGGCGGGCCGAAUGUAUCUGUAUCUGUAACGAAUCUGUAUCUGUAUCUUUGGGAUUAUUGUUAGACCGGGCAUUAGAUACACAAGAAUAUAUGUACAUACAUAAAGGAGAGAGAUGCGGAGGAGGAAGCCCUCGCCUCUGCAGGUCACUGCAUCACAAUAAUCAAAAAGCAACAUGGCCAACAGAUGUGCGCAACAGGCUCCCAAUCAACGGAAUCACCAGAAAUCAACCGAAAUCCGAAAUCAGACAAAAGGCGAAGGUCUCGGGAAAGGUCCGAGAUGUCACUUGGAGUGUGGCUGGGCCCUAAAUCAAAGUCAUGCAAUGGUCCCCGAUUGUUCUCUUCAGUUUUUUGUAGCUGGUAGCACUGACCAGGCACCAGGCAACAGGCACCUCGCAGCCACCAUCAUUCUCGGCCCGAUUCUGUAUCCGUAGCAUGGAAAUUUUCGUAUUGUACCAGAAAUUUGUGUCAACGUGGGCGACACUUUAUUGUGAACGAGUGUGCCUGUGUGUGUGAUGGCUGGGUGUGUGUAAAAAUAAACCAAAGUCAUUUUAUGUUGUCAGCAACAUGUGGAAAAAUGCUCGGAAUUCGUUCCAUUCUUGCACACUUUUGCAAUGAAUUAAAAAUCGGAUAGAUACAGAAACUCAGAAUCUGAUCAACCAGGCGGCAGCACCUUGUCAGCCCGAGAGGCAUUAAUACUCUCGAGACCUGCCUCGUCCCGUUGCCUCUUCAUCAAAAAAAAAGUGAAGUGCAAUUAACCAUCAUGCUCCCUCUCCAGUCUUCGCCCUUCCUGCACAGUCCAUCUCAUUGUGAUUCUAUCUCAGGUUCGUCUCGGUUCUUCUGCUGCACUUCACAGCAAGGCCCAAGAGCUGAGCAUAAAUCUACCCACACAUCGGCAGAGGAUUCAUCCACUGGGCACGCAGAUACUCACUCGGCAGGGCAACUCCACCGCCAUCGCCUCUGCCUCUGCUCUGUAGUGAGUUCAACCGCGUCAAACAUAAUUUGUAAACGCAUUAAACAUUCCCCUCAUUAACACCUUCAGAGGGUGACUCCAGCUAUCUUGGGAUCUAUAAAUGGAUUUUGAAACAAAACUUCAUGCUUGGCAAAAACUAUCCAGAAGAGGGGUUUCAUUUUCCAUACAGAACCUUAAGGUUCUCGGGUGUGGAACAUGUUUUGUGUUUGACGGGCCACUUUCAACAUCCUCGAUAGUAUAGUGGUUAGUAUCCCCGCCUGUCACGCGGGAGACCGGGGUUCAAUUCCCCGUCGGGGAG
Molecule: long non-coding RNA, 1292 nt
Organism: Drosophila ananassae
Lineage: Eukaryota; Metazoa; Arthropoda; Insecta; Diptera; Drosophilidae
Exons: 2
Source: RefSeq, a predicted model, not a curated record